CGCGUAGGCGGUUAUUCAAGUCUGGGGUGAAAGGUUCAGCGCUCAACGUGAACAGUGCCUUGGAUACUGGAUGACUUGAGUCUGGGAGGGGGAAGGGGAAUUCCUGGUGUAGCGGUGAAAUGCGUAGAUAUCAGGAGGAACACCGGUGGCGAAGGCGCCUUCCUGGCCUAAGACUGACGCUGAGGUGCGAAAGCGUGGGGAGCAAACG
Molecule: ribosomal RNA, 208 nt
Filed under: uncultured bacterium
Lineage: Bacteria
Description: partial 16S ribosomal RNA
Rfam family: Bacterial small subunit ribosomal RNA
Source: RNAcentral